This 440-nucleotide long non-coding RNA is filed under the name Arachis ipaensis. RNAcentral describes it as "long non-coding RNA (AIPA_LNC002131)". Lineage: Eukaryota; Viridiplantae; Streptophyta; Magnoliopsida; Fabales; Fabaceae. The record is from RNAcentral.
GUGAACUUAUUAAUUUCUUUGAUUUAUUAAUAAACAUGUCAACAAAAAAAAAUAUCUUAGGAAUUUUGAAGGCCAAUGCGUGCAAGUUAAUGACUAUUGGAACUUGGAAGAUUUGUUCCUGAUACUAUGAAAGUAAAUUACACAGCAAUUUGCACAUAUUACUGCUCUAUUUAUUGAGAGACGAGCCCUCUACAAGAUUCUACAAAAUACAUGGGGAGAAAAACAGAUACCCAUUUACACAUACAUAAAUGAGCAAAAAAUUUUCUUCUAUUUCCGUGUAACAUACAACUACAAGAAAAAUAACUGAGCAAGUUUACAUUGUAACUGUGUUGAAGUAGCAGUAUGAGAGUUGUCUUGUGUGAUAAUAUGAAUAACUUGAGUGGCAUUGAAAUGGCUUGUUAAUACUGUAUCAUCAUAUAUGCUGCUCCAAAUGGUAACUG